Molecule: ribosomal RNA, 463 nt
Filed under: uncultured bacterium
Lineage: Bacteria
Description: bacterial SSU rRNA
Rfam family: Bacterial small subunit ribosomal RNA
Source: RNAcentral
ACGAACGCUGGCGGCGUGCCUAACACAUGCAAGUCGAGCGAGAACCCAGCAAUGGGGGACAGCGGCGCAAGGGACAGUAAUGUGUAGAUCAUCUGCCCUCAGGCCCGGGAUAGCUGCGGGAAACUGCAGGUAAUACCGGAUAACAUCUCCGGAUCAAAGGUGUGAUUCCGCCUGAGGAUGAGUCUACAUCCUAUUAGCUAGUUGGCAGGGUAACGGCCUACCAAGGCGAUGAUGGGUAGCGGGUGUGAGAGCACGACCCGCGUCAUUGGGACUGAGACACUGACCAGACACCUACGGGUGGCUGCAGUCGAGAAUCUUCGGCAAUGGGCGCAAGCCUGACCGAGCGACGCCGCGUGCGGGAUGAAGGCCUUCGGGUUGUAAACCGCUGUCAGAGGGGAUGAAAUGCAGGUGGGUUCUCCCAUCUGUUUGACAUAGCCUCAGAGGAAGGACGGGCUAAGUUCGU